RNAcentral lists this ribosomal RNA (497 nucleotides) under uncultured bacterium. RNAcentral's name for it is "partial 16S ribosomal RNA". It matches the Rfam family "Bacterial small subunit ribosomal RNA", at positions 28 to 507 of the family's 1533-position model. The record is from RNAcentral.
GAUGAACGCUGGCGGCGUGCCUAAUACAUGCAAGUCGAGCGAACGGACGAGAAGCUUGCUUCUCUGAUGUUAGCGGCGGACGGGUGAGUAACACGUGGAUAACCUACCUAUAAGACUGGGAUAACUUCGGGAAACCGGAGCUAAUACCGGAUAAUAUUUUGAACCGCAUGGUUCAAAAGUGAAAGACGGUCUUGCUGUCACUUAUAGAUGGAUCCGCGCUGCAUUAGCUAGUUGGUAAGGUAACGGCUUACCAAGGCAACGAUGCAUAGCCGACCUGAGAGGGUGAUCGGCCACACUGGAGCUGAGACACGGUCCAGACUCCUACGGGAGGCAGCAGUAGGGAAUCUUCCGCAAUGGGAGAAAGCCUGACGGAGCAACGCCGCGUGAGUGAUGAAGGUCUUCGGAUCGUAAAACUCUGUUAUUAGGGAAGAACAUAUGUGUAAGUAACUGUGCACAUCUUGACGGUACCUAAUCAGAAAGCCACGGCUAACUACGUG